Molecule: long non-coding RNA, 561 nt
Organism: Syzygium oleosum
Lineage: Eukaryota; Viridiplantae; Streptophyta; Magnoliopsida; Myrtales; Myrtaceae
Exons: 3
Source: RefSeq, a predicted model, not a curated record
UAUAAUGAAUUGAGGAUAGUCGUUGCCAGGUGGCUGGGUGGCGUUAGUGUUUGUGCACGCAUGCACAUUUUUUGGACUACUAAUAGUACUCGUCUUUCCUUCUAUUGUGGUUAGGAGCUCCUUGCGUAUGAGGAAAUAAAUUCCUCAAUUCCAGAGCUAUGCAGUAGAAUGCAAAUGAAAAUCAUAGACGAGCUUUUGCGAGAAAUUUAAUAUGCAAAAGCUAGCUGUUUGCAGAAGGCAAGACUUUUAAUAUAAAAAAAAGGGAGGAUUCCAAAAUGCCGUGGAAGGGAAGGGUUAAACAGCUGCGUUCUGUGUUUGUCUGAAGCAAUAUCCACAAUAGAUUGUGUCAGUAAAUCAUCAUCGUGCUCUGCUGUCUCGGAAUGUCAUUUAUUAGCCUCUGCAUAUUCUCUGCGUGCUCUCUGUACUCAGGAAGCUGAACCGAAAUCAAAGGGAAUACUUGAGGAUAUUAAUGCGGCACUGAACCUCUGGCCAAAUAUCAAGAAUUCGGACAGUUGCUCUUUGGAUGAAGAUGACAGCGUGUUGGCAGAAAUAUCACUGCCU